Non-coding RNA from Potamilus streckersoni, 78 nucleotides. The record is from the annotation of a GenBank genome assembly. NCBI's taxonomy places the organism in Eukaryota, Metazoa, Mollusca, Bivalvia, Unionida, Unionidae.
GACCGCUGCGGUGGCCUAGUGGUUAGAGCGUCCGUCUCGGGUUCUUGGAAGUCAUGGGUUCGAUCCCCAGUCGAGUCA